Molecule: ribosomal RNA, 691 nt
Filed under: uncultured bacterium
Lineage: Bacteria
Description: bacterial SSU rRNA
Rfam family: Bacterial small subunit ribosomal RNA
Source: RNAcentral
AACGCUAGCUACAGGCUUAACACAUGCAAGUCGAGGGGCAGCAUAGAAGUAGCAAUACUUUGGUGGCGACCGGCGCACGGGUGAGUAACGCGUAUGCAACCUACCUAUCAGAGGGGAAUAACCCGGCGAAAGUCGGACUAAUACCGCAUAAAACAGGGGCACCGCAUGGUGAUAUUUGUUAAAGAAAUUCGCUGAUAGAUGGGCAUGCGUUCCAUUAGGUAGUUGGUGAGGUAACGGCUCACCAAGCCGACGAUGGAUAGGGGAACUGAGAGGUUGGUCCCCCACACUGGUACUGAGACACGGACCAGACUCCUACGGGAGGCAGCAGUGAGGAAUAUUGGUCAAUGGGCGGGAGCCUGAACCAGCCAAGUCGCGUGAAGGAAGAAGGAUCUAUGGUUCGUAAACUUCUUUUGCAGGGGAAUAAAGUGCAGGACGUGUCCUGUUUUGUAUGUACCCUGAGAAUAAGGAUCGGCUAACUCCGUGCCAGCAGCCGCGGUAAUACGGAGGAUCCGAGCGUUAUCCGGAUUUAUUGGGUUUAAAGGGAGCGUAGGCGGACGCUUAAGUCAGUUGUGAAAGUUUGCGGCUCAACCGUAAAAUUGCAGUUGAUACUGGGUGUCUUGAGUACAGUAGAGGCAGGCGGAAUUCGUGGUGUAGCGGUGAAAUGCUUAGAUAUCACGAAGAACUCCGAUUG